GAUGAACGCUGGCGGCGUGCUUAACACAUGCAAGUCGAACGGUGAACACGGAGCUUGCUCUGUGGGAUCAGUGGCGAACGGGUGAGUAACACGUGAGCAACCUGCCCCUGACUCUGGGAUAAGCGCUGGAAACGGCGUCUAAUACUGGAUAUGUGACGUGACCGCAUGGUCUGCGUUUGGAAAGAUUUUUCGGUUGGGGAUGGGCUCGCGGCCUAUCAGCUUGUUGGUGAGGUAAUGGCUCACCAAGGCGUCGACGGGUAGCCGGCCUGAGAGGGUGACCGGCCCCACUGGGCCUGAGACCCGGCCCAGACCCCUACGGGAGGAAGCAGGGGGGAAUAUUGCACAAGGGGCGCAAGCCUGAUGCAGCAACGCCGCGUGGGGGAGGACGGCCUUCGGGUUGUAAACCUCUUUUGGCAGGAAAGAAGCGAAAGUGACGGUACCUGCAGAAAAAGCGCCGGCUAACUACGU
This 468-nucleotide ribosomal RNA is filed under the name uncultured bacterium. Its description in RNAcentral is "partial 16S ribosomal RNA". It matches the Rfam family "Bacterial small subunit ribosomal RNA", at positions 28 to 506 of the family's 1533-position model. The record is from RNAcentral.